Molecule: long non-coding RNA, 1455 nt
Filed under: Anser brachyrhynchus (Pink-footed goose)
Lineage: Eukaryota; Metazoa; Chordata; Aves; Anseriformes; Anatidae
Description: lncRNA (ENSABRG00000005124.1)
Source: RNAcentral
GGCGGGGGGAAGGAAGGGAAAAAGGAGGGGGUUUCCGCAGCGUGAGGAAAAUAUCGAGUGUAUCUAAACAUUCAGGUUAUAAAACAGGUCAAGAGUUCUCAGCACAAACAAAGCUGGGAGGAAGCAGCCUUUCCCAGCUGUUGGAUCUGGCACGGGCGGGAGGGGAUUUUUGCAUCGUUGGCUCCCAGCACGGGGGUCACCGGUUGCUGUCCCGGGGGGGUGCUUGGGACCACGCAGCCGAGCGGAGCGCUGGCCUGCUCCAUGGCCCCAAAUACCCCCUGGGCCAGUGGGAUUGGGGUCACCAGCAGCUGGCUUGGGGUCCCCAGGCAGGAGACCCCCUGCCCCAAAGCAGAGCCGCAGCCCCGGCCCCACGCCGAGGGUUGUUUCUCAUCCCCUGAGCCCCCACCACCUGCAGAGCCCCGGCUCCUGCCCAGGCGACGCCAGGACCUCGCAAAAUCCUCAGCCCCUGCCCAGCCCCUGGGGCGCAGGAUGGGGCCGGGGGGCAGGACGGGGGGCUCGGGGCCUGCUGCGCAGACGGGCUGGGAGGACGAGGUGCAGCGGGGCAAGGCGCCGGCAUCGCCCGGGGCUCGUUCCCGGCCCAGCCACCACCGCCUGCUCCGGCCGUGGCCAACGCGGCGUCGCCCGCGGGCUGCUCCGGCCUGGCUGCGCGCCACCAGCACUGCGGGGACGGGAUCUGGGAUUUCCAUGAGCGGAGAGGAAGGAAGCCCCGGCUGGAGCCCACGUAGCUGCUUCUCACACACUUUUUUUUUUUGUUGUUUUAUGUGCGUGCUGUUUUUACAGCUCAAAAUUGCUGGGUUUUAUUUCAGGCUGCCGUGCAAGCGUCCCGAGCUGCAGCUGCACCAAAGCCACCCAAACGCUCCCGCUCCCGAGGUCACCGCGCGCCCGCGGCCACGCGGGGCCCAUCCGGCCGGGUGCCGGCACAGCGGGGGCAGCCGCUGCCCCCCCCCCGGCCCUACAGAUGGGGUGCGGGACGGGGGCACGCGGGGUGAGUGGGUCCCUGCGUGGGGCAGCUUCGGCCUCGCCUUCAACCCCCCAGGUUUUGGGGAGCGCGUGGCCACGGGGCUCAGACCCCCUGCGGGAGGAGAGCACCGGGGGCCCGGUGCGGUGGGGGGGCUCCGGGCUUGCUCGGGGCGGGGGGAUUUCUGCGCUUUGGGCCCACGGAGCCGCAGGGAGAGCGGCUUAGCCGCAGCUUUCAGCCACUCGGGAUUUAAACGUUAAAUACGCCGGGAGAUUUCUGCCCACUUAGGGCCGAAAAUGGAACGGGGGCAGCGCGUGGUGGCCGGGGCCUGAGCGGGCUCCGGGGCUGCAUCGCGGGGUGUGCGAGGGGCACGGGGCCGGGAUCCACUGCCGGUGGGGGUCACGGGGGGGGCUNNNNNNNNNNNNNNNNNNNNNNNNNNNNNNNNNNNNNNNNNNNNNNNNNNNNNNNNNNNNNNN